Molecule: ribosomal RNA, 467 nt
Filed under: uncultured bacterium
Lineage: Bacteria
Description: partial 16S ribosomal RNA
Rfam family: Bacterial small subunit ribosomal RNA
Source: RNAcentral
ACGAACGCUGGCGGCGUGCUUCACACAUGCAAGUCGAACGGAAAGGCCCUGCUUUUGUGGGGCGCUCGAGUGGCGAACGGGUGAGUAACACGUGAGUAACCUGCCCUUGACUUUGGGAUAACUUCAGGAAACUGGGGCUAAUACCGGAUAGGAGCUCCUGCUGCAUGGUGGGGGUUGGAAAGUUUCGGCGGUUGGGGAUGGACUCGCGGCUUAUCAGCUUGUUGGUGGGGUAGUGGCUUACCAAGGCUUUGACGGGUAGCCGGCCUGAGAGGGUGACCGGCCACAUUGGGACUGAGAUACGGCCCAGACUCCUACGGGAGGCAGCAGUGGGGAAUAUUGCACAAUGGGCGGAAGCCUGAUGCAGCAACGCCGCGUGCGGGAUGACGGCCUUCGGGUUGUAAACCGCUUUCGCCUGUGACGAAGCGUGAGUGACGGUAAUGGGUAAAGAAGCACCGGCUAACUACGUG